RNAcentral lists this ribosomal RNA (459 nucleotides) under uncultured bacterium. RNAcentral describes it as "partial 16S ribosomal RNA". It matches the Rfam family "Bacterial small subunit ribosomal RNA", at positions 338 to 795 of the family's 1533-position model. The record is from RNAcentral.
CCUACGGGUGGCAGCAGUGAGGAAUAUUGGUCAAUGGGCGGGAGCCUGAACCAGCCAAGCCGCGUGAGGGAAGAAGGUACAGCGUAUCGUAAACCUCUUUUGUCAGGGAACAAAGGCGGGGACUAGUCCCCGGAUGAGGGUACCUGAAGAAAAAGCAUCGGCUAACUCCGUGCCAGCAGCCGCGGUAAUACGGAGGAUGCGAGCGUUAUCCGGAUUUAUUGGGUUUAAAGGGUGCGCAGGCGGCGAGUUAAGUCAGCGGUAAAAUUUCGGGGCUCAACCCCGACAAGCCGUUGAAACUGGCUUGCUAGAGUGGGCGAGAAGUAUGCGGAAUGCGUGGUGUAGCGGUGAAAUGCAUAGAUAUCACGCAGAACUCCGAUUGCGAAGGCAGCAUACCGGCGCCCAACUGACGCUCAGGCACGAAAGCGUGGGUAUCGAACAGGAUUAGAUACCCCUGUAGUC